AGUUAAUUAGCUUAUUAAAAGUAAACGUUUUGAAAACGUUGGAUAGAGAAAUUUAUUAACUU
Molecule: transfer RNA, 62 nt
Filed under: Chanohirata hamata
Lineage: Eukaryota; Metazoa; Arthropoda; Insecta; Hemiptera; Cicadellidae
Description: tRNA-Ser
Source: RNAcentral